CCUACGGGGGGCAGCAGUGGGAAUAUUGGACAAUGGGCGAAAGCCUGAUCCAGCCAUGCCGCGUGUGUGAAGAAGGCCUUCGGGUUGUAAAGCACUUUCAGUGGGGAAGAAAGCCUUGGGGCUAAUACCCUCGAGGAAGGACAUCACCCACAGAAGAAGCACCGGCUAACUCCGUGCCAGCAGCCGCGGUAAUACGGAGGGUGCGAGCGUUAAUCGGAAUUACUGGGCGUAAAGCGCGCGUAGGCGGUCUGAUAAGCCGGUUGUGAAAGCCCCGGGCUCAACCUGGGAACGGCAUCCGGAACUGUCAGGCUAGAGUGCAGGAGAGGAAGGUAGAAUUCCCGGUGUAGCGGUGAAAUGCGUAGAGAUCGGGAGGAAUACCAGUGGCGAAGGCGGCCUUCUGGACUGACACUGACGCUGAGGUGCGAAAGCGUGGGUAGCAAACAGGAUUAGAUACCCCAAGUAGUC
RNAcentral lists this ribosomal RNA (465 nucleotides) under Vreelandella stevensii. Its description in RNAcentral is "partial 16S ribosomal RNA". It matches the Rfam family "Bacterial small subunit ribosomal RNA", at positions 338 to 795 of the family's 1533-position model. Lineage: Bacteria; Pseudomonadati; Pseudomonadota; Gammaproteobacteria; Oceanospirillales; Halomonadaceae. The record is from RNAcentral.